UGGCAUUUUUAAUUUAGGUUUGUUUUAUUUAAGUUUAAUGUUAAUUCCAUGCUGUGUUUCAGUAAGAACAAUACAGAUUCUGUAUCUGUGGCUCCAGUCAGAUAUCCAGUAGUACAAAUUAGCUUCAAGUUACACAUACUGAACAAAAGAGGUUGAGCGAGCGAAGGGAGAUGGGGAGGGGGGAGGGAGAAAAGAAAAAAUAUUGAACACGCAUGCAGGCUUAUCAAUGCCACCUUCAAUGCUAACCUGCUUGGAGGAAAAGUAAAGAAUAGGCAAGAAUGAGCAGCCACGGAUUGUUGAACUGUUACCAGCACCAUGUUUUUCAGCAACGUUUCAGCAGUAUGGAAGGUUUUUUUUUUUCCUUGUUUUUUUUUUUUUUUUUAAUUACAGUAACCCCACUACAAUAUACGUCCCAAUGCAACCUGUAACUUCAAGCUAAACAUCCAAUUAAGUUUCAACAUUGGUAUAAAAUUCAGUUUAAACAGUUAUAAAAAAAGAAAAAUGCCACCACAUGCAUGCUACCUCGUGAUAAGGAAUCUCCCCUACAAGUCUAACAGCCUCCAGGUGUCACAUCCACUUCUAAUGGCCAUCACCACGGCUGGCAGGAGACAACACAGUAAUGCUGAAAGAGCCUUUAUGCAGUCCUGUUAGUGUCUUAAAGAACCUAAAAGCUGGCACCAGUAAAAUCCACAGAAAUUCACUCUUGCCUUUAAGAACUUUUAAACUGUGUAAAAAAAAAAUAAAAAUAAAGAAACCCAACAGGGCAGGAACCUAAAUUCUGAGACCCAAUGUAAAAGUCAGAUUUGGUGGUUCUCAGAGUGACACUGAGGGUUUUUGUGGGGAGGGGGAAGGGUGGUCAGAGAUGGGUUCUCUUGUUGGCCUUUGUGUCUCACUGGUUUUCAUCUUCCACAUCCUGCAGCGCUUCUUUAUUCUGUUCUUCACCAUCACCCUGCAUGUCUG
Molecule: long non-coding RNA, 960 nt
Filed under: Gallus gallus (chicken)
Lineage: Eukaryota; Metazoa; Chordata; Aves; Galliformes; Phasianidae
Source: RNAcentral